UACGGGAGGCAGCAGUGGGGAAUAUUGCACAAUGGGCGAAAGCCUGAUGCAGCUAUGCCGCGUGUAUGAAGAAGGCCUUAGGGUUGUAAAGUACUUUCAUCGGGGAGGAAAAACAAAACUAAUAAUUUUAUUUCUUGACGUUACCCGAAAAAGAAGCACCGGCUAACUCCGUGCCAGCAGCCGCGGUAAUACGGAGGGUGCUAGCGUUAAUCAGAAUUACUGGGCGUAAAGAGCACGUAGGUGGUUUUUUUAAGUCAGAUGUGAAAUCCCUGGGCUUAACCUAGGAACUGCAUUUUGAAACUGAAAUACUAGAGUAUCGUAGAGGGAGGUAGAAUUCUAGGUGUAGCGGUGAAAUGCGUAGAUAUCUGGAGGAAUACCUGUGGCGAAAGCGGCCUCCUAAACGAAUACUGACACUGAGGUGCGAAAGCGUGGGGAGCAAACAGGAUAGAUACC
This 453-nucleotide ribosomal RNA is filed under the name uncultured bacterium. RNAcentral describes it as "bacterial SSU rRNA". It matches the Rfam family "Bacterial small subunit ribosomal RNA", at positions 340 to 786 of the family's 1533-position model. The record is from RNAcentral.